This is a long non-coding RNA of Ictalurus punctatus (channel catfish), 339 nucleotides long. NCBI's taxonomy places the organism in Eukaryota, Metazoa, Chordata, Actinopteri, Siluriformes, Ictaluridae. The record is from Ensembl.
UGAAACGUUAUUUGUUCAAGAUUCACUUCCUGGUUAUAAGAUGUAUGAACUCAUCCCCCUCCUACAGUGGGACCAUCACCUUGCCACCCCCAGACCCUAAACCCCAACCCUGGGUUGCAGGGGAACCUGGAGCCUAUCCCAGGGAGCAUCAGGCACGAGGCGGAGUACACCCUGGACAGUGUGCCAAUCCAUCGCAGGGCACAAUCACAUACACACUCACACACCCAUUCAUACACUACGGACACUUUAGAGACGCCAAUCAGCCUACCAUGCAUGUCUUUGGACUGCGGGAGGAAACCAGAGUACCCGGAGGAAACCCCCGCAGCACGGGGAGAACAU